RNAcentral lists this long non-coding RNA (37249 nucleotides) under Lactuca sativa (garden lettuce). RNAcentral's name for it is "long non-coding RNA (LSAT_LNC006568)". Lineage: Eukaryota; Viridiplantae; Streptophyta; Magnoliopsida; Asterales; Asteraceae. The record is from RNAcentral.
AAAUAAAAUUGAUGUUAAAAAUGCUUCUGAACUUAAUGAGCACAAUGACAUGAGUGAAAUCUCUGUAGAGGAUGAGGUUGACUGUUCAGAGUUUAUUAGGAGCGAACCUGAAAACCACAAAAACUUGAUUUCUGAAAAUUCUGUGGAAUUUUCUUGUCUGUCCAAAAAUAAGUCCCCAAUCCUUAAAGAGAAGGCGGUUGUUUACCAAAAGGUUAGAACCACUCCUAAUCAGGUUUUUAAGGUCACAGGAGUAACAGAACAUCAGACAACCGAACUCACUGCCAUGGUGAAUGAAGAUAAUGUAGAUGGCUGCGAUGAGUUUUUCUGGUCUGCACUGAUAGACAACGCAGAUGAAACAGUUGGUUUGUCGGAGCGAACUUCAUGGAAGACCAAAGGUAGAUAUGUGGCUGAACCACUAAAUAAACCUACCAACUUUGGCGUGCCCAGUUCCAGUGACACAAAAGAGGUUCCGGUAGAAUGCGUCUCUUCUACAAGCGAAACCUCUUCCAUGGAAACUGAACCAGUAGUUCAAAAGCCGAAACAAAAGGCAAAUAUUCACAGACAACUGAAACAGGUGAAAAAUCAAAAGUAGUAGAGAAAUCUGAGAUACAAGAAAAAUCUCUCAGAGCGAAAGCAAUUUUGGCGCUCCCAAAAUCCUCACUAUACUCACGUUGAUAGAAACUCCAAGUCAAAAGGAGAAGAAAAUAAGAGUAAAAGAAGCUUCGGUCCAUUGGAUCAAAAGAACCAAAAAAAGACUUUCAGGCUACAGGAAGAACAAAACCGAAAGGACAGGGUCGGUCCCGAAAGACUUUCACGAUUUACUUGGGUAUUCUUUCUAAAGCACAAAUCUGAGGUGACUCCUAAACUGAAGAUCUUUAUCAAGCAAGUCGAAGUGCAACUGAGAAAAGUCGUUCGAAACAUCAGAAGCGACAAUAGACUGGAAUUCAAGAACAAAGAAUUCGAAGAUUUCUUAGCAGAAAAAGGCACCAGUCACAAUUUCUCAGCCCCCUAUACACCUCUACAGAACGGAAUUGUCGAAAGGCGAAACCGAUACCUAUGUGAGGCGGCCCGAACCAUGUUGAUUUUUGCUUCCCUUCCUCUAUAUUUAUGGCCUGACGCCAUUGCUGAAGCUUGUUUUACUCAAAACAGAUCCUAUCUCAACAAGCGUUUCUCUCUCACCCCUUAUGAGAUUAUUAACAACAGGAAGCCGAAUGUUAUGUUCUUUCAUGUGUUCGGUUCAAGGUGCUUCAUCUUCAACUCCAAAGAACAUCGCAACAAGUUUGAUGUCAAAGCUGAUGAAGGUAUCUUUCUGGGAUAUUAUCUUACUUCAAAGGCAUACAGGGUUUUGAAUAAGCGUUCUAAAAGGAUUGAAGAAACCUAUUAUGUGACGUUCGAUGACAAUUACGUCAAGAAGUUAAAGUCUACCGAAGAAGCAAUUGGAGAGAUUCUCUUAAACAGGUCAAGUCACUGCCUCAAUCGCCAAUUUCUUUGACCAGUUCAUGGAUUUAUUUGAUGAACCUGAGAAAGCCACUCAUUCUGAAGCAACGGCAGCAGACAAUAAGAUUGAUCACCUUAAGAAGAUUGUCGAAGAUGCAUCCAAACAAAUGGGAGAAGAAGAACCAGUUCGAAACGAACCUUCCCAGAGAGGUACUUCAAUCGAGGGGGAGACUCACUUUUCUUCAAAUCAAUAGGUCUCAUAUGUCUAGGGGGAGAAUCCAAUCUUUGACGGACCCGAAAGUCCGGUAGCACCCAAAAGUCUGAUAGCACCCGAAAGUCCGGUAGCACCCGAAAGUCCAGUGACAACCGAAAGUCCGGAUCAGCCCGAAAGCUCAGUUGAAGAAAGACUUCUUGGUUCAUCAUCUCUCGAGGGGGAGAACUCGGAUAUGCUCUAUGAUGAUGAUAUUCAAUCAGAGUUGGAAGAAAUGGUAAAUGCUGAAUUGGAUCCAUCCUAUGAUUCAAAUUAUCCUCCUCUCACCAAAUGGACCAGAGAUCAUCCUGUAUCUCAAAUAGUGGGUGAUGCAUCAGAAAAGGUUCUAACUCGAUCACAACUGAAGGCGAAGCAAACUGCUUUAUUCUCCAAAGUAGAAUUCUGCAUGUUUAAUUCUUUCAUAUCCAAAAUAGAGCCGAAGACCGUCAAUAUUUCUCUCGAUCAUUCUGAUUGGGUUCAGGCAAUGCAAGACGAGCUCAAUGAGUUCGAAAGAAAUAAGGUCUGGAGACUCAUUCCAACACCAAAAGAUGCCUAGCUUUUCGGUCUCAAAUGGGUGUUCAGAAACAAAAUCGACAAGGAGGGAAAUUUAAUCCAGAAUAAGGCUCGGCUAGUGGUGAAAGGAGAUUGCCAGGAAGAAGGAAUCGAUUAUGAAGAGACAUUCGCUCCAAUAGCAAGGCUAGAAUCCGUUCGAAUAUUUCUUGCCUAUGUUGCACACAAAAAUUUCGAGGUCUACCAGAUGGAUGUGAAGUGUGCAUUUCUAAAUGGGGAACUUGUAGAAACCGUGUACGUGGAGCAACCUCCUGGUUUUGUAAAUGAAAAGCAUCUAGAUCACUGCUACAUCUUGGAUAAGGUUGUUUAUGGUCUGAAACUAGCACCUAGGGCAUGGUAUGAAACAUUAACUUAGUUUUUAAAGAUGUCUAAAUUGAAACAAGGUUCGGUUGACCCAACCUUCUUUCGUAAAAAGGAAGGUAGCCACCUUAUGAUCGUUCAAAUCUAUGUCGAUGAUAUCAUCUUUGGCUCAACGAAUCCUAGCCUAACAGUUGAAUUUAGAAAGUUGAUGGAGACUAAAUUUGAAAUGAGCUCAAUGGGUCCGAUUAACUUUUUCCUUGGCUUAAAUAUUAGAUAGGGACCCGAAGGCAUCUUUAUCAAUAGGGAAGCAUAUACGAAGACUCUCCUUGCCAAUUUCGGCAUGAUGGGAGACUCAAAGGUUAAAGUCCCUAUGGCGUUUGGUACCAAGCUCACACCAUCUUUGGAAAAACCGACAGUCGACAUAACGCUAUAUCGCCAAAUGAUUGGUUCCCUGAUGUACCUCACUGCUAGCAGGCCCGAUAUAAUGUUUUCAGUGUGUUAUUGUGCCUGGUUCCAAGCAAAUCCUCGUGAACCACAUAUGCUGGCAGUGAAAAAUAUACUCCGGUAUUUGAAGCGAACCACCUCUCUCGGUUUCUGGUAUCCCUCAAACUCAGGUUUCUUCAUUCAAGCCUACUCAGAUGCAGACCUAGAAGGAUGUGCUCUAGACCAGAAAACCACUACAGGAGGCUGUCAAUUCCUCGACGGGAAAUUUGUAAGCUGGCAAUCUAAGAAACAAACAUGUGUUUCUCUGUCUACAGCCGAAGCAGAGUACAUUGCCGCUGCCUCCUACACACCUCAAGUGAUUUGGAUCCAAAGCCAACUCCGGGAUUAUGGACUCAAUAUGAAAAAGAUCCCACUAUAUUGCGAUUCAGAAAGCGCAAUUGGGAUCUGUCAUAACCCAGUACAACAUUCCAAUACAAAGCAUAUUGCACUAAGGUAUCACUUUAUUAAGGAUCAUGUGGAAGAAGGAAACGUAGAAAUUCACUUUGUUCGAACCAAUGAUCAACUGGCCGACAUCUUCACCAAAGCCCUUCCUGAAGCAAGUUUCAAUAAAAUCCUACAAGGCCUAGGUAUGAUGGAAUCAGAGUCAAUACGAAAACACCUUCUCAAAACUAAAAGUUGGAAGCGAAAUGAACCGAAUGCUCGGUCUAUUUCGGGUUCGGUUCACACGGGAACCGAAAUAAACCGAACGCUCGGUCUAUUUCGGGUUCGGUCCCACUACACUUAUUUUUGCUUAUCUCAAAAAAGUGAUAUCUUUGGUUGUAUACUUUUAUACAAUUGUUUUCCAAAAAUCCAAAAACCUUUUUUUAGGGAACCGAAAUGAACCGAGCGUUCGGUCCAAUUCGGGUUCGGUUCAAAAAAAAUUUUGUUUUGUUUGUUUUGUUUUUCUCUUUACAAAAUUAUCAAAAAUUCCAAAAAUAUUUUCUUUCGUUUUGUCUCUACUUCUGUUCAUGUCAACAGUUUAUGGAAUAUCGAUGGGGCAGGCAUCAUUCUCACACUUUUUACUAGCUAAGUGUCCCUAGAAGCAUGCUGCUGCAUGUUGUCCAAAGUUUCAACUGAUUUUGAAUAAAGCCUUAUUGACUGGGUAUAUACAAACAUUGUCUUCCCAAUUAGGCUGCCCCAUUUAUUCUAAUCAUGAGCUACGUUACUCUUUUCUCAUAUGAGUUAAAUGUUUUUUGCUUGGUCACUAUUUUUUUUUAUAUAACAGAGGUACUUUAGUUUCCUUACACCACCUCAAACAUUUAUUCUCCAUCAUAUUCGCUUCAUACAUGUAACCCUUGAGACUCUCAGAAAUUACCACUGAGGUUUAUGGUUACACAAUCUCCGUGUUUGUGAUCUUAGCUUCGUGUCACUACGUGCUAAGUGAAACCUACAAUUCAAUACCCACUAUGAAUUGACGGUGAACAAUUAAAUUUGCUCUAGCUUUCACUUAUGAAUUAACGAAUCCAUCCAAGUGGUUGUACCAUGAAAUCUCUAUUUUCCUUUUGUGUGAUUCUUAUGAAAUUGUUACAUACAAUAACAUUUCUUCCCAUGGAAUCCAGUUUUAAAUUUCCUUGAGAUUUCACACCAAGCAUUUCCAAGAAGUCGCUAAAAUACGAUCCAAACCUACUUGUUCAACAGACCUCAUUGGUCUCACAAGUACUUCAUUAGGUUUCUAUCUUAUGUCAAGAUCUAGAAUUCUGAACUGAAGCGAAAGCCUCCCCUCUAAGCCUCAUUAAAAGAUGUCUUUCAACACUUCUUAACAAGUGCUUGAUCGUAAUUCAACGGGAAACCACACAAACACUUUAAAUUCUCUCUUGACUUUGAAGGAAGAGAUUCGUACCCGGGAUCCACUGUUUCGUGUCUAUAUUGACAUCACAAUUUCCCACAUAUAUGUUGCUUUAUUUCUAUCUUUGACACUCUAUGCACGAAAAUAUUUUUUGAUUUUCCAAAAGUCUAGCUUGGUUCACUACAAGCUAUUUUUAUGGCUCUGGUCUUUAAUGCUAUAUUCUCAACGGGAUGCUGUGGUUUAUCUACGUGUUUGCUUUUAUUUAGUGGAGACAACUCAUUUUAAAGAUAAGAUGAUGACUCAGCCAGGAGACUACAGGUUUCAGGAAUUUAAAAAGGCAUUUGAUGGGAAAACGUGCACAAUGAGAACGUUUUUCUCUCUCAUGCGUAAUCAUAGGGGUUGCUAACUGUCACGCGUCAAUCAACUCAGAAACCGCUUCGCGUUUCAAGAAGAUUUGGUGGCGAUCUUUCUCUCACCUCUAGAAACGGUAUAAAGGGUUAAACCCUAGGUUUUUAUCUCUUUACUACACCCAAAUUUACGAGAGCAAACACAGACGCUUUUCUACCACUGUUCAUCUCCUUCUUCGAAGCACUCAUCAAUGGCGGAUUCCUCCUCUGUUCAUGAAACCUCCCACAUUCUCGUAAUCCGACCCUAGCAAAGCUUGGUCAUUGAUCUCACCCCAGUUUCGUAUGAUGCAUUCAUGUACCCCAUCGUGGAGUGUCUCAAACACUCUCCACUAGUUCUCGCUCUAACCAAGGUCGAAACUGUCCCUAUGGAGUGUUUAUCCCAGAUUUUCUCUACCGCCCACUACGAUAAGUCUGUUGAUCGCAUCUUCUUCGAUAUUCUUGAUACCAAAACCUCCAUCUUAAAACAACGAUUCUGCUCACUUCUAGGGUUUAAACCUGAUGAGUCAAGGGUUAACCCUGAGUCGAUUUUAGUGGGACAGUUGCUCUCCAUGUUUUACAACAUGGGUUACACUGAAAUCCUCACCACUGUGAGGAAGUUCAAGAAGUCAUGUCUUCCUCCUCAGUGGAAUGGCGUCUUCACGAUACUGUUCAAGGGUCUAUCAGAGAGGAGUGCAGGUUCAGAUGGGGCUAGUCGUUUUUUCAUGACGAUUAUCUACGGGUUGUACCAUGGGGUAAACCUCGACUAUGGCUCAAUUUUAUGGCAGCAGUUAAUUCAAAGCCUUGCCUCUACUUCUCGCCAUUCUGAAGUUUCAUAUGCCUGGUUUUGGACGCUCGUCACCAAAUGGGCAAUGGACAAGUAUCAUGUCCCCAUUGUGGCUAGAUCUCCACUCUCAUCCAUUGGCAUCUUCCACACUAUGAAGAUAAUUGUGAUGGAUCCUUCCAAGUUCCUAUUUGUUGGUUCUAUUCCAGAAUCAAUGUAUGCUUGUGUAUCAAGGGAGAGCCGAAUCAUCAAGACCUACAAGGAUUUUCUUCCUUCCGGUCCCAGAGAGCUCACUCCAGAGAUGAUUCAGUCUAUCAAUGACGCCGACAAACCUGCUCCCCGGGGCAAGAAACCAGAAAAGGGGAAAGACAAGAAGGUGGUCAAAGGGGCGAAAGGCCCUUCUCCUAAAAAUAGAAAGCCAACAAAGGCAGUCCAAUCACCUCCACCAAAGAAGAUGAAAACCCAGCCCAGGCGGAAACUCAUUCUUGCCUCUUCCUCCAGUGAAUCUGAGGAUGAGGAUUCAGACUCAGAGGAGUCAUUUUGAGGCGACUCUCCUCCUCGUUCGCCUUCACCUGAGGUACCAGUUUCAACCAAACCUGUCUCUCCUCCCGCGAUCUCUAUCUCUAUUUCCAUUCCCCCCAUAAACUCCACUACUCAUAUUCCACCCACUUCUAUUCCUGUUCCACCCCCCAUUUUCUCAAACGCUACAACAACAACAACCACUGAAGUUCGAACCAACGUAUCUGAUACGGGGGCGCGCACUUCAGCACCCAAACAUACACCUGUAACUGAACCUACUUCCAAACCCGAACCUACACCCACAACCGAACCUCCACCUUUGUCUUCAUCUCCCAAUCACUCAGCCGAUACUGAGACUUUUCUUGGAGGGGAAGACAUGGCCUUUGAUUCUGUCUACUAUAGUCCCUACCAGGUUCAAAGCGAUGAUGACGAUGAUGCUCCUGUCACUAAAAAGCACAUCAAGGAACUUCAUGAGAAAAUUGAUAGUCUCGUCGCUUCCUCCUCCUCCUCUCGGUCCAAUAUCUCAGAAGCUGCCAUUCAGGGGAUGGGUGAUACUUUCACCAAGGCUCAUGAAGCCUCUAUCAAAUCUGCCACUGCUGCUAUCGAGGCAUCCACAAAGGCCUGUGCUGUUGCGACCGAAAAAGUCGAUAAACUAUUUCAUGAUGCUAACGUAUUUUACAGUCUUUACAGGGAGCAAUUGACUCUAGUGCAGCGAAAGUGGAUUCCGCUGUUGAGAAGCUGGCUACUUCAUUUGCAAUAGAACAACAUCUCUUUGCUGAUCUUCGUCAGUCUCUUGAAGCUGACAAUAAAUCUUUCCAGGCAGUUGUUGAGGAGCUAUUGACCAAGCUCCAAGAAGACCUCGCUUUGAAGAACUCUGUGAUGGAUGCGCUUGCACGCAAAACAACUGCUCUAAAGGUCAAGAGUCUUCAACUUUCCCAAUCAGAAAAGGAGGUUGCUUCUCUUAGAUCUGAGUGUGCGGUCAUUUCGAGUUUUCUUUUGGAUGUCCAUGGAGCCCUCUCCAACAUCAUUGAAGCACAUGACCCAAUUCUCAACUACUCAGUGAGGCGAACACUUGCUGAAAAGCUUGCUCCUGUCCUUGCCCUGCUCAGCAAAAUUGAAGGGCUUCCUGAGUUCGUGGCCCUUCAAAGGGUGAUAAUCAAUCUUAACCGCCUCCCUCUUCUACAUCAGCUUCAACUAAAGCUACCGAACCACCAACAACUGGUCAUGCUUCGGGUGCGGGUGCUCAAGAUAAGGGGAAAAAGGCUAUGGAUGUCAGUGAUGGUGAUGAUGACAAAGAGACCAUUGCUGAUCUCUUGAAGAAACAGGCCAGGGAUUAGGAUUCAGACAUGAGUGUUCGGAUUGCUAGAGAGGCAGAAGCAAACGAAAGGAAGAUGAAGGAGGCUCAUGAUCUCCUUGAAAGUCAAAAAACCCUAUUACCUCCGUGGACUCUCGAGAAGCUUAUAAAAGAAGCUAUCGAUACCCCCAACAUCCUCUGGCUUGAACCUAUUAUCUCCUUGGACAGGGUUAAUUCUGUCGACUCUCAGUUCGACAUGCCCUUGACCCGAAAGGCCUUUGUAUUCCACGCAUUUUCUCACGUUGCUGAGGUCCCUCAUCCUCACCCGAAGGUUGAUAGGGAGCUUAUUGACUUCUAUCUGAGGUCUGCUCAGCCUCAGUAUUAGACGUGGAGUGCACAUAAGAUUGUCAACGUUCGGGUCCUCAAACCCUUUCGGGAGGGUAACUUCACAAAUGUCCAGUUCAAAGUGUUGAGGGGGUCAGCUAAAACCAAACAUGUCAUUUCUCUUUCUGAUCUUCCUAACCUGAAUCCACAUGAUUGGAUCAUCCUGCAUAACAUCCUCCUCACCAAUGAAGCUGAAUAUGGGCCGAUCAUAGAUCACUUCAAAAGGAUGUUGGUUUGCUACAUCAUGGAGGUUGCAAAGAUGGAUCAGGAGAUUGAUAGUGUAUUCAAGAAGAAGCCCACCAUCUCCCCAGUUGGUUCUGCAAGUGAUUUGAAUAUGAUGCAGAUGGGGAGGAUCGAUCCAAAGCGGAACUCAGUCAUGUUCACUAGAAAUGAAGGCCAAAAAUGUCUGUUCGCCUUCGCUGACAAGCAACUAUAUACCACUUCGUGCUUGUAGCAUAUUCUGGGGAUCAUUAAUCGGUGUAAGCAGAAUUCUGAAGAUGACAAAAAGUUUUUCAAUGAUAUGAUCAAGUGGUACAUUCGUUUCAGACAAACCAUUCUUGCCAUCAUUCCUCGUCUGUUCGAUACCACGAAGAAAGUUCCUGCAACUGGAUCCAGCAAGCCUAAGUAGAGUCUCGCUCCAAUUGACGAAAAGGGGGAGAUUGUAGGGUCCAUUAUGUGUUGCGUCUUGGGCUCGGUCCUUAGUCCAAUUUUGUAUCGGGAUUGGGCUUGUCCAUCUGUGAUUUUAUUAUUAUGGUUUAGUAUUUAUUGAUGCUUGCAUGCAUCUUUGUACGUAAGGUUUUGGAGUCGAUCAUUCAUAGUGAAUACCUUUUAUCGAUUGUAACCCUAAAAAGCCUCUACAACGGAAGUUCUUUGUCGAGCUCUACUGAGGUGUGAAUCUAUUGAAUCAUUCAACGUAUUUUGAUUCAUUCUCGUGUUUGAUAUUUAUGUUUUCAUUUUUCUAAUUAACUUGUAUAAGAUCUAAACGAUCAAAGAGUUUUUCAACUCUUCAAGUUGGAUUCAUGGAGCCUGAAGCCUUGGAUUGCUUCUUUGAUGCACCUGAUUUCGCCAUUGAGAGAUGAGAAAUUGGAGUUCUUGAGAGUUUAUGGGAGUUUUGGAGAGUUGAGAGAGAACAGUCGAUUAAGCACAGAGCGUAAACGAUUUUAGGGAAGAAGAUGGGUUUAUAAAGGAGGUAAAAAGGAUUUUAACCCUAGGUAAAAGAUAGAAGAGGGUAAGAAAUUGAAUGGGUUUUUUUAGGGGGAAUCAAUGAUUCUGGGAUUAAAUCUCAGCCACACGAAAAUGAAACAGGUUUUGGAAAGAUUUUGAGAGAUCUUAAAAGGGGUUUGCAUUUAAUGGCGGAUUAGACGCAUGAUAAUACGUCAGGUAAACGUGGGGCGAUGAGAGAGAAAGUUGUAACUGAUGGGACGUGGUUGGGAGAGGAAAGGACAAGUUGAGGAUGGAUUUAUUUGGGAAUCAUUCUUUUUGUCAUCAACCCUAAAAUAUGUGUGAUACGGAGUUUAUUCAGAAAGGGAAUGUGACAGUUUCUAAAGGGAAUGUUUGUAUUGUAUUUAAUUAAGGAUCAUUAAAUAGCACACAAAGAUUCGAGAGUUAAUGAAUCUGUUGGAAUUUAUUUAAGAUGACUGCGGAUGGAAUCAUUAUUGCGGUAGAGAAACUUUAUUGGGGAUGAGCAAAUAAAGACUUUAGAGAGAAUCUGUGAGGAAACACUUGUACAAAGGUUACAAAUAAAAGAUCAAUAAAACCCAUGAGUGGUACGUAUGACAUAUGGUUACGGUACCUAGAUUAUGGUACCAAAACCAUCUAUCAUAUGUAAUUCUCAGUUAGAACCGCAAUGGAAACCAAUGAUGGUCUGCAGUGGCUAACACCUCAGAAAGAAUUGCGGGUCCGGAUUCAUCAUUCCCAACAUUUGUAAGAAUGCAUUGAGUUUUGUAGAGUCAAGAGCUUUUGUAAAAAGAUCAGCAAUCUCUUCAUGAGUAGGAACAAAGAUGAGUUCAAUAUUACCUUUCAGAAUAUGAUAUUUGAUGAAAUUAUACCGUAACUCAAUAUGUUUUGUCUUGGAGUGCUAAAUAGGAUUAUGAGAGAUCGCUAUAGCACUUUCAGAGUCAUAGUAAAUUGGUAUCCGCAGGAUUCUGUACCCGUAGUCUAGCAAUUGUGUCUUCAUCUAAAGAACUUGGGAAUAGCAGCUGGCUGCGGCCACAUACUCGGCUUCUGCAGUAGAUAGGGAUACACACAUUUGUUUUCUUGAAGACCAGCUUACAAGUCUUCCUACUAGGAAUUGACAUCCACCUGAUGUACUUUUUCUAUCGAGCUUGCAACCUGCAUGAUCCUCAUCGGUGAAGGCUUGAAGACUGAAGUCGUUGCCUGCAGGAUACAAUAAACCCAUUGAUUUGCUUCCUUUAAGAUACCAAAUAAUUUCUUUCGCUGCGGUCAUGUGAGACACUUUUGGAUCAGCCUGUUAUCUUGCACAUACACCAGUUGCGAUGACAAUGUCAGGUCUGCUUGCAGUGAGUGAACCAAUGAUACCUCUAUAAGUCUUGUGAUCCACAGAUUCACCGGAGGGAUCAGCAGAGUCUUAUAACCGAAGGCCAUAGGGACCUUAGCAGAAGAGCAGUUGUCCAUUGAAUAUUUCUUCAGAAGUUCAUUGGUGUAUUUUUCUUGAUGAAUGAAAAUCCCUUACUCAAUUUGUUUGACUUGAAGAGCUAGAAAGAAAUUAAUCUCUCUAUUCAUGCUCAUUUUGAUGAGCUUAGCAAAUUCAUCUACCAUGCCUUGAUCAGUCGACCAGAAAAUGAUAUCAUCCACAUAUAUUUGUACCAUCAUGAGGUGGUCACCAUUUGCUUUUCUGAAUAAUGCGGGGUCAAUCACUUCUUUUUUGUACCCGGAUGAGACAAGGAAUUCAGAGAGUGUCUCGUACCAAGCUCUUGGGGCUUGUUUCAGGCCAUAGACUGUUUAUUCAAGCUUGUAGCAGUGGUCUGGAAAUUCAAUAUUUUCAAAUCCUGGUGGUUGCUGAAGAUAAACCUCUUUCUUUUAGUUCUCCAUUGAGAAAAGCACUCUUAACGUCCAUUUGGUGUACCUUGACAUUUUUGUGGGCUACAUAUGCUAGAAAGAUUCAGAUGUUUCCGUGCCUGCUACCGGAGCAUAUGUUUCAUCGUAGUCAAUGCCUUCUAGUUGACUAUAGCCCUUGGCAACAAGUCUUGACUUGUUUCUGAUGAGUGAGCCAGAUUGUUCUAGCUUAUUCUUGAAAACCCAUCUUGUACCAAUAAUAGUAUGACCUUGUGGAAGAGGAACAAGUUGCCAUACUUUGUUUCUUUCAAAUUCUUCUAAUUCUUUUUGCAUUGCGGCUAUCCAGUCUGCUUCAAGCAAUGCUUCUUUGAUCAUUCUAGGUUCAACCGAAGACAUAAAUGCUGCAUAAUGGCAGUGAUCAGAUAAGUCCUUGGAAGACCAAGUCCGGAUACAUGCGGAUGGGUUGCCAAUAAUUUGACCUGGUGGGUGGUCUUUUGUCCAUACAUGAAGACGUGGCAUCAGAUGAUCAGCAGCUACGGUAGAAGGGAUAUCUUGGAUGGCAGUGGAAUCUGCGGUUGGGGAUGGCAGUUCCCCCAGGAUUUGAGAACAUCCUGCUGAAUCAUCUUGAUCUAUUGGAGCAUAAUUUUCUUGAGGAAUUGGCAAAGGUUGAGGUUCCCCCUGGAUUGCGAAUGGGAGUUCCUCUGGAACCUGAGAAGGUUCCCCCUGGAAUGCAGAUGGGAGAGUGACAAUUCUAGGAUCGGUUCUAGUGUCAAUAUUCUCUAUGAAUUCGUCAUCUGACAACCCAAAAAUUUCCAUUCGGUAAAACCAUCCACUACAAUUGAAGUCAAAUGUGUAUAAACUAACUAUCAAACUUUUGGGAUAAGUUUAAGUGUUUUAAGGUUAGUGCUCCAGAGGAUAUCAGGAGAGAAGAUACACUAGGGUUUAAUAUGUUGCAAUAAGUGCCCAAACCUUCAAGAGUUUGGAAUAUUACAGUCCAAAAAUGGUAUUCGAACCAAAAACCCUCAAGGCUAAAUAAAGAAAAUUUAGCCAUUUUGGAUUCAUUUGUUACAUUUCUAGCUAGAGAAAAGUCGAUUUUCUGUCUCAAGGAUCUUCACCCGAUCACCCCCAACUGUAAGUACUUCAACUGUAUGUAAGUGUGUUAUAUGCCUUAACAACAUGAAAAUCAAGUCAAAACAACAAGAUUUGGGAGUUUACCGCCCAAGAAAAUCUUGGAGAGCAAACUCCUUUAUAAGGGCCAAAGUGUGCCCAAUGUCCAUCCAAGCCUUGGGACUAAACCUAGAGACUACCAUUACUUGUUUUAGACCCCCAAAACAUUAAGAAACAAGGCUAGAAGUGAGUUCACGGUCAAGGAAGUUCUUGGGCCGUGAACUCCAUUUUAGGGUGCCAAAACACCCAAAAUGCCUUCCAUAAGCCAAGAGACAACCAUAUCACUUUACCUAGAUGUGUUUAGGACUCAAAACAAUUAAAAUAUCAUCACCCAUACCUGAUUACGGCCGCAAGCUCAAGCCAAAUUGGUCCACGGGCCGAAAACUCAAGAUAAGAGUGUUUUGAUGCCACAAACACUUCCUAAGGCUUAGGCAUGAAUUUAGAAUGCUUCCUUAUGACCUUUAGGACCCUCAUAAGCAUAAAUGGCCAUGAGUUUACGGUAGUAAACUCAUUUGGGCCGUGAACUCCUCAAAAACUCCAAAUAAAGUGGUUUUUCUCAUCCUAGGUUAAAGCUAAUGUCCCUACAACAUUCCCUAGCUAUCAUACUUGCAUUCCCACAUGUGUAGCCAUGAGUUUACGGCUGUAAAAUCCCUUGGGCCAUGAACUCAUGGUAGUAAACUCAUGUGUGUGCCUUUAUACCUUCCUAUGUUGAAUCACAUGUGAUUCCAACACUUGGUCAAGGUGUUUCCUAGUCCCGGAAGGUGUUUUCUUUCAUAUAGUUGUCUAUAAACACUAUAUUCAUGUCAAUAUGUGUCCUUAUAUAUCAUUUAGGACUUAUUGUGUCUCGGGAAUUCAUUCGUGGAACUUCUCAUCCGUACGCGCAUACCCGUUUGAAUCACCCACAUCAGGUGAGUUCAUAGCCCGUAAUGAAUCUUUUAACUAUUUUAAUUGUUUAAGGGGGGGAAUACAAGUUGAAAACAAUGAUAAUUGUGUAAAUGUUUGUUAUAAACAUCUUUCAAAAUGUUACUUAUGUUAUUUAUAAGUUGUUAAAACAUUUCAAAACUCUUCUAAAGGUUAUGUUACUUUAUAGUUAUACAAAACUCCAUUUUAAAGUAUAAGCAUGAGUCUUUUUAGUAACAGUCCAGUUAGAGCAUUAGUAAACUAUUAUAGGUAUAGUUUAGGAGAAUACGAUUCAGUACUUUUAGUACAAUGAAGCACACAAAGAGUCAGAACAGAACAUAACAUAACAUAACAUAACAGAACUAACAAGUUAAUUUGCUAUAGCAUGACAACACGCAGACAUGAUCUAACUUUAAUGUGCAUUACACGGCUUGCAUGGAUUUGCUCGGGUCGCGUUUGGUUCCCUCAAUCGCCAUACAUGAGAGCGGUUAGUAGGGAUUCCAACUUUCAUAUUAUGACCGUAAUAAAACAAGUAAGUUUUUAGGUUGAUAGUACCUCCGUGUGUCAUUAUAAACGACAUCAGGGUACUCAAUUCUCCCAUUACUUUCAUAAAAUGUCGGUAACACUUGAAGGUUAAUCUAUUCUCUAUCCGAGAUAGGUUAUAAACUAGGGAGAAUGUACUUUACAGUUAACAAAGGAACAGUAGAGUCUUGGUAGAAGACUGCUUUCAUAACAGUAGAUUCUUAGUAGAAGACUACUUUCAUAACAGUAGGGUCCUUGUAGAAGACUGCUUUCAAAAAAGUAGGGUCUUGCAAGAAGACUGCUUUCAAAACAAUCGAGUCUUGGUAGAAGGCUACUUUUAAAAAGUUAGGACCAUGAUGCUAACCUUAUGAUUCCGUAAUGUAUACACUAUAGGAUACACAUAUGCUAAUUAGAUUCCGACAGCUAAUAGGAUGUGUGUUCUUCGCUGUAUGUCCUGUUCCAGUUGGAUGUGGGUUCACACCGAGGUCACCCAAUCUAUUAUCUACCCGAAUCUAUAUAUAUUUAUGCUUAGUAUACAUUAAGUAAUCAUAAGGGUACCAGGGAUGGAUUAGGUCAUAGGACAUAGGGUCAAUGCACAAUUUUUCUAGUACAAAACUUUCGUUUAAAAGUCAGUACUUUUGAUAUACAAAACUAACGAUUUCCCAGUUAAAGGCUUAAUCCAUUUUUGUAAGCCAGUACAGUUUUAAAGACUUUAAGUGAGUUAACUCUAUAAUACCUUAUUUUAUACACCAUGUUUAUAUAUAAAACUAGUAUCCGACAGCUAGUAGGAUGUGUGCUCUUCGUUGUACGUCAUGUUCCCAUUGGAUGUGGGCUUACACCGAGGUCACCCAAUCUGCUAUCUACCCGAUAUCAAAUUAUAUAUAGCAGUAUAAACAAAGCUAUAAUAAAAGUAAUCACCAUAGUCAAUAUUUUAUUAUAAGAAAUAUAGGUUUUCUUAAAAGGAACUCUCCAUUAGAUAUAAAGGAACCAUUACAAAUAACUCCAUGAGUAACAAGUAAAUACACCAAGGUUAUAUAUGACAACGAUCUAACAACCAAUGGAAUGUGUGUUAUCCACCUUACUUACUGUACCCCGUCGGGUUGUGGGUUGAGGGCAGAUGCGCAUAAUCGAUUGUUUGUUUACUCCAAGUAUAUAUAACUUGUACCCACUUAUUACGCAUAGAAAGGAUUGUAAUGUCAUUUUACUCAACUCCCAUUUUAAGUAGGAAAUAUAUGAUUUUCUAGAGGAACAGGCAAACUUUACAAAACAACACCUUAUAGCUUACAACACUUUACAUAUACAUUUUUGACCACAUUUUUAUAGCUUACUCGCAUCACUAAAAUCUUAUGAACUCACCAGCUUAAUUGCUGAUCAACUCUUUCAAAUAACUUGUAUUCUCAGGAGACUAUUAGACAGGUGCUCGUGCUGGGACUUCAGAAGAUGGAGCAUUAUAGCUUCAAGUCUUGUUUUGUUAUUUGUUUAUGACUUCUAUGUUUUGUGAACACAUACAUUGUAAACACUUUCUUUCUAAAUGAAAUGGUUGUUCAUUACUUGCUUACCAUAUACAUAUCUCGUGAUACUUGACAUGACGUCCUCCACCCCCGAACGUUUCCGCCGUUCCAGUUUUGGGGUGUGACAAUAUGCAACCCUGUUAGUGGAAUAACCAAGGAAGAUACCUUCGUCAGACUUUGGUGCAAACUUGUUGAGUUGGUCUCUGUUGUUGAUCACAAAGCAUCUACAUCCAAAGAUAUGAAAGAAACGAACAUUGGGUUUGCGAUUGUUGAGACCUUCAUAUGGUGUUUUAUUGAGAUGCUUGCACACAAUACUUCAGUUUUGAACAACGCAUGCGGUUGCUACUGCUUCAACCCAUAAUUAGAGAGGAAGUUGGGCGAAGUUAAGCAUGGAUCUGGCAGUUUCAACGAGUGUGCGGUUCCUUCUUUCUACUACACCAUUUUGUUGCGGUGUAUAGGGUGCUGAAAAGUUGUGAGAGAUGCCUUUGGAAAAUAGGAAACUGUUGAGAAGAUGAUUAGUGAACUCAGUUCCAUUAUUAUUGCGGAUGCGUCUGACUGGAAGCUUGAUUUGAAGUUUGAUUUCUUUGAUGAAGUUAAUGAAGAUUUGCAGUGUCCCUGAUUUGAGUCUGAGAAAGAAGACCCAUGUGAAGCGUGUAUAGUCAUCAACAAUAACCAGUAUAUACUUGUUGUGGUGAAGACUGGCUACGGUUGAGGGACCGCAGAGAUCAAAGUGUAAUAGCUCCAGUGGUUCAGCGAUAGAAGAAUCCAUUAUUAGAGGAUGGCUUGCUUUUGAUUGUUUACUGUAUUCACACGCUGAACAAAGGGUAUCGUUGUUGAAUUUGAGAAUGGGGAGACCACGGACUAGUUCUCCAGUGACGAGGUUGUUGAUGUACCGAAAGUUGAGAUGAACUAGCUUGCGAUGCCAUAGCCAGUAGACUUCGGAUACAGCUUUGGACAGAAAGCACAGUUGCGGUUUACCAAUGAUGAGAGAUACAUCUAGAGGAUACAUUGUUCCUUCGGAGCGAGAUUUGAUUAAGAAAGUGCUUCGAUCACUCGUCAUUAUGUAACAGAAUUGAUCAUCAAAUUCAACGCGAUGUCCUACUUUACAUAGUUGACCAACACUGAUAAGAUUGUGUUUAAGGCUUUCUACAUAAGCAACCUUCUGAAUGGAAAAGUUCCCCAUAGUCAGAACACCGUAACCUCGGAUGACACCGUUUGCAUUGUUGCCAAACAUGACAUUUCCACCAUUGCAUAUAGGCCUAAAAUCCCGAAGGUACUCUAACCUUCCGGUCAUGUGCAAGGAGCAAGCACUGUCAAUUAACCAUUCUUCUUCUUGUUCCUCCUUGCACAAAGCCUGAGAAUUACACGGUUAGUUUAGGCAUCCAAACAAGUUUGGAGCCAGGGACAAUUGAUGUAUUGUUAAGUGAUGCAUAGUCCGAGGUUGCAUGGACGGGUCUUCUGUCAACUUUUAGACCUAGUCCUGGGUGUUUGUUCAGAUUUGGAUUGUUACGAGGUUUUUGAAAAGUAUGAGGUUUUUGGAUUUCAUUUGACUUGACAUGAGAUAAAAACUUUUGACAGUUGCACUAACAUUUACAAAAAGAGAGUUUGUCAUUGAAUCUGACAUUAGUCAGCAGUUUAUAGAGUGAAUUGGACUUGGUAUUGGUCCGAGGUGGGUAACUUCUGAAAGAUUUGACAUUUGAUUUCUGAAAAGUUUGUUUUGAACGAAAUUUUGGACUGUAAGAUUUUACAUGCAUGUUGUUUGGUUUCUAAAAAGUUUGUUUUGAAUGAUAUUUAACACGUGUAAAUCUUUGAGUCCCUUUAGGUGGAUUUGGUAAGAUUCCCUUCCACUUGUUUUGAUGUGAUUUUAAAAGUGUUGGAGUGGGUAAAAUUGCUUUCCAAUUAGGGUCUUUUGAGGAAUAGACCUGAAAAAUGUAGUUUCUCACAGGUUUGACACCUUUUUGAGUUAUUUCAGGAGUAGCAGGAAUGACUUUUGAAACUGUACUUUCCUUUUUUCUUGUUUUCAUUAAAGAAGAGUUUUUUGAAAUGUAAUUUGUGAAAACGAAUUUUUCUGGACUCCUGGAUUUUGGAAUUCUCACAUGUUUCUUAUUUAUUGGAAAACUUUGUCUGCUUUUGUUUCGAGAUCUAAUUUAAUCUUUGAAAGCUCUUUUUUCCAAGGAUUUUGUUGAACCGCAGUCAUUGUUAUUCAACUGCGGUUUCCUGGAAUUUUUUGAAUGAUUUUGAAAACGUGGACUAGAAUCAUCAGAACUUGAGGAUUCUGGAAUUUGAGAGCAUUGGCCUACUUCAAAGUUUUCUAUAGGUACUCGUGAAAAAUCAGCUGAAAAGUUGUAGUUCCUUGAACUGAUGAUUUUGAAAAAGAUGAUUUGACUACCGUAGAGUAGGUUUUAGAUGAAACUACGGUGGGACACUUCUGGGACAUUUGACCACUGUUUGGAACACUGUGGUCUGAGGAGAAAUAUGGAAAGUCCUUUGAGACUUCGGGGCUUUCAAAAACAAUUUCUCCAUCAACUACGGAUGAAGUUUGAGAAUUUGAAUGAGUGGUGCCGCAGAUGGGAGUUUAAUCAUAUGUGUGACUAGAAUCCUCGGGCACAAUUUCCUCAAUGACACUAUUAUUGCUUAAAUUGUGUAAUCUACCGAAGUGAGUUUUGAUAUCUUCGGGAAAAGUCUUGUUAUUGACAGGGAAAUGAAAUUCUCUAUCAGGAGGUACAUACACUCUAUCUUUGUUGAACCGGGGUGAGGAAUCCAUUUCGGUACGACACCCAUUUGACCAACCCCAAUUAUAUGUAUUGUCCACAGUUCCAUUGCUUACCAAAUUUUCAAUAGCCUCACUUUCAUUAAACAGUAUUUCAAUUAAGAGAUUUAAGCAUACAAUUUCUCUCUGAGCUCAAUCUCUCUGGUUCAAAGCUAUCUCUAAUUGGGUUUCACUUAACAUUCUAGUAUCUUUCUCUAACUCUAGAUCAUUCUCCAACAUUGCCAUCUUAAGUCUCUUGUUAUUCAGUCUUCCUCUCACAUGGAACAUCUCUUGGGACACAAUGUUCUUCUCAUCUAGGGCUUUGUUAUAGUCUGUAAGGACGACAUCACAAGUGUCAUUAAGAUCAUCUAUGUAGGGUUGACAGUCAUGCAUACUAUAAUUUAAAGUUUGGAUCAUGAGUUUUACCUAUUCAACGAUGCUUAGAGUCCAAUCCUUUGCCAUGUAGCAGUAGUUUUUGUUCAACAUUUCUGACCCAUCAUCAUCCGUAGUGUCCAGCAUGUAGAUUUUCCCUUUUCCUUUAACAUUGCUGAUGGUCUCUUCUUCAUCUCCUGGUGACCAAACUUGAUGGUCUCUUUUCACUUGAGCCACAUAUGCCCUUGCCUUUUCUUUUUCUUCCAACUCUUGAGCCAUUCUAAGAUAGAAUGCUCUGUCGUUGACUACAUUGGCCUUACAGUAUUUUGCUAUGUGAUUUUCUUUAUUACAUUUGUGACAAAUGACAACAUCAGUCUUGUCUUCUGAUUGAGUAUCAGAGUCAUUGUUCUGAGGAGACUGCGGUACCUCCUUUGGUUGAUUGUUCUGAGGGCCUUUAGGAUAUCGAGAUUGGUUGUUCUGAGGACCAAAGUUACGAUUGAAAGGAGGUUUGUUAAAUUGUUGAUUCUUGUGGAAAGAAGAAGGUGGUAUGCAAUUGAUUUGUUGGCUAACCAGAGCAAUAGCCUUCUGAAAUUCUUCUUCAUCAUCAUACUCAGAAUCCGCUUCGUAUGACUGUGGUGGGGUAUCAUACGAUGAAGGGUAGGGUGACUACGGUGGAGCUUGUGCUAUGAGAGCAAGUGGUCCUCUGAAGUCAGCACAGUCUUUGAGUACAGUGGAUUCUUGUGCUUGGAGCUCUCCAUAGAGUUUGUAGAGUGAUAAAGAGUGAAUCUUCCUGUCAACUUGGACUAUCAUGUUAGCCGUAGUCCAAUGUCGUCCUAAGCUAGAUCUCUUUUGCUAACUUGCAGUUUAUGAUAAUAUCAUGGUUGUCAGGAGCAACACCACAAGAAAUUUCAUAAAAAGCAACAGCAUCAUUUUCAAUUUUAUCGAGAUCAUCCUUGGUGAGACGACUCAUGGUUGGUUGACCUCCUCCUAUCCUGGUUGCCACGCCGUCAGUUUGGACUGGUGUAAGAACUGGAACGUGUGGUCCUUCUUGCACAGAUCGCCAUACAUCUCUACCCAGUCUUCUUAAGUACCUAUCCAUUCUUUGUGACCAGUGAUGAUAUUCAUUUGCUACUAGUAUUGGAGCUCGGUUAGAACCACCAACACUAUUGGAGACAUUCAGAGAUAACGAUUGUGCCAUUUUUUUUUUGAGAAAUGAGCUUUAGUGGUAUAGAAGGCUUAAUGAGAAAAUUAGAGUUCCGAUACUCAAAAUGCAACCACUUUGGCUCUGAUACCAAUUGUUGAGAGAAAAACUUGGAGACACACUUGAACAAACGUUAGAACAAGUAUAUUGUGGAAUAGUUAAUCUCAAAGGAUCUAAAAGCUCAACAAUAAUAUAGUUAGAUAGUUAGUUGCGGAAAGUAAAGAAAUAUAAAUGACAACAAUUGUUAUAUCAAGAAUACACUUAAACUGAUUCAUAACAAGGAAUGCAUUCACUCCGAGUUAAUAAGGAAGAUCAAGUUUAGUGAUUAAGUCUAGAAGACUUGCUCUGAAGAGAGGUUAUAUUUCAGUAACAAUUUUAGAGUGUGAAGAGUAGUUAGAUGGAAAAAUGAAGAAGAUAACUUGGAGAAAUAUAUUCAGAAUAAUUCACAAGUCAUCGAGUGAAAAGAGAGAUGUUUGAGAAAGAAAUCUUGUGUAUUAAGAAGUUAAGAGUUGAGUCGAAUACAUUAGAAAGAGUCUCUAUUUAUAGAGUCUAAAAAAUAAACAACUACUCUAUAAGCAGCCGUGCAAGGCAUGCUGGACAAUAGAGUACAUUACAUAAAGAUAAGAAAGGAAAUAACAAAGACUGUGGAUGCUGAAGACUAGUUGCUUCUGGGUGCUGAGAUGAUCACGGAAGGUGAACCGUUGCGGUAGAUAGGAGGUUUCGGUAUCUUGGUUUAAGAGGGUCACUAUCGGGAUGCAGUUUUGCUUUGUUCGGUUUACCUCACGGUCCAUGAUCUCUACAGGUUCUUCCACAAAGUUGAGGCUCUCGUUGGUAUCGAUCUCGUCAAGUGGGAUUACAAGAGUCUCGUUGCACAUACACUUUUUCAAAUUGGAGACGUGGAAUGUAGAAUGUACGUUAAAAGUUCGCACGCUAGAUUGAGUUUGUAAGCUACAGGGCCGAUUCUUGCAAGAAUCUCAAAAGGCCCAAUGUACCUUGGAUUUAGCUUUCCAUGCUUACCAAAGAGUAUCAAGCCCUUCCAGGGCGAGACUUUCAAAAGAACGCGGUCUCCCACUAGGAAUUCCAAAGGUUUCCUUUGUUUGUCUGCGUAGCUUUUCUGUCGGUCUCUAGAGGCCUUCAAUCGUUCAUGAAUUUGAAUGAUCUUCUCUAUCAUUUCCUGAAUGAUCUCCAGACCAGUGAGAGUGCUCUCAGGAUCUCAUCCUUUGGCUAACUAUGUGUCACCCACUUCAGCCCAACACAGAGGGGAUCUGCACUUCCAACCAUACAAGGCUUCAAAUGGAGCAGCAUUUAUGCUCGUGUGAUAACUGUUGUUGUAGGAAAAUUCGACAAGGGGUAAGUGAGUAUCCCACGCUUUCCCAAAAUCAAUCACACAGGAUCUCAGCAUAUCUUCCAUUGUUUGUAUCAUUCUCUCACUUUGUCUGUUGGUCUGUGGGUGGUAGGUUGUACUCAUGUCUAGCCUCGUCCCCAGGGAACUUUGCAACGACUGUCAAAACCUUGAAGUGAAUAUACUAUCUUUAUCGGAGAUAAUGGAUAUAGGGACACCAUGCAGUCGUACGAUUUCCUUAAUGUAAGUUCUUGUAAGCUUCUCCAUUAGGCCCCACCAAAGGCCCAUAUCUGAAGUCAAACUCCACUCAUCGAUUCAUAAUCCGAAAAUGACUUACAAAGCCCCAAAAUUCUCAACCCCCAAAGAUGAAUAAGUACAUAGAAGACAAAGACAAGAUAUUUUUACCUUGAAUGAGAUGAAAAUGGAACAAAUCUGUUGGAUCUCUAAGCCCCAACUCGAACUCUCAAGCCUCUUUCUUCCUCUCAAGCUUCACAAACAACCAAAUGCACCAAAAUGGCCUUAGAACACACAAAAACGGCUAGGGCUUCGAUAUACAACUUUUUGGGAAUGAUAACGAUGAUGGAGGAUGAGAUAAGGCAUUUAAAUAGGGUGCAAACUGUCACACCCCCAAACCGGAAUGACGGAAAUGUUCGGGGGUGGAGGACGUCAUGUGUAGUAUCACAACAAUUGAAUCAUAGUAAUCAAAGUAAACACAACCAUUACAUUAUGAUAUGAAUAUUUACAUAUGUUUGUUCCAUAAUUAGAUAAAUCAAAAGUAUAAUAAAGUAAACGACGUGGCUCUAUAUAUUUCGUCUUCUCAAAACUCCAGGAGGUACUUGUUUAUUGAUUACUUGAGAAUCCAAGCGAUUUUGAAAACGUAUCAGCAUAAAGCUGGUGAGUUCAUAAGCAUGUUUUUAAUGAAAACUUGUAAAGAGAUAUGUAAAAUGUAUGUAUGUUUUCCAAGAACAUCCAAUAUUUUCUAACAUAUUUGUUUGAUAUAGUAAGUGAAUUAUGAUUUGUUUUGAAAACCAUGGCUACCACCAGUAACUAAUGUAUGAUAUAUUUUGAAAACCCUGUCUAUUGCCAACAUGUAAAGUACUGAAGCUUAGUCUGGGAAAAUCCCUUAUUUUCCCUUGUAUGCGUGUGUUGUUGCUUUAGUGGUUCUGAAACUGAAAGGCAUAAGUAUCACACUUAUGUUAUUAAAGCAAAUGUUCAUGAGUGGUAUAUUAUUACGUAAAUAUAUCGUUAUUAUUGGUGAGUUUUAUGACCAUACUAAACUUGAUACGACGUGAAUCUGACAUUGAUAUCCUUUAUCACUUUGUCACUCGUAGACCUGCCGGUCCUACUGUAGCUAGCCGUAAAGUGCGAGGUAGUCAAUCCCGUGUAGAUCUAUACACAAAAGUCACGUUCUCCCUCCAGGAGACUCUGGUUCAUAAGGGUAGUCCUCCACUUAGUUAAGUUUGUAAGCGCCGAAGGACGUGUCUCCCAAUUAGGUUAAUGACUUUACAAGUAAUGAUAUAUGCAAAGUAAGGUUCUUUUUGUACUCGAAUUCGAUGUAUGUAUCGUAGAGUAAAAAUAAUUAUAAUUAAAUAAUUAUUAACUGUUGUUCUCUUGUAAUAUGCAUCAUAAACUAAAUCUGACAUAGUUUAUUUGUUCAAUCGUGUAAGUAGUUUGUAUCUGUAAAACUAGUAAUGAAAUUCCCCAAACUAUACCCAUUAUAGUUUAACUGUUAAGUUCAUGAAUCUGUUCUGAAAACAAUGUAAUUAAAUUUAGAAAACGUCCCAUAUGCUCCACAUAAUACAAGAGGGAUAAAUUAUCUAAAUGCUUUAUGAAAACCGUUGAAUUGCAUAAAUUUUGACUUAUUGAAAAACUUUAAUUUUUGGCUUGUAUUCCCCCCCCCCCCCCCUUGAAAACGUUUAAAAACCCUAAAAGCGUAGGGGUAUGAACUCACUGUUUGAUGUGUAAUUCGAAUGUAAGAUCGAUAGGGAUGCUGAGUGUCAAAUGAAGUCUCGAACACAAACGGAUCCUAUUUAACAUAUAAUAGCAUAUAUAUAUUAGAUUAGGGUAUAACACNNNNNNNNNNNNNNNNNNNNNNNNNNNNNNNNUAUAUAUAUAUAUAUUAGAUUAGGGUAUAACACCACUAAUUAGGGAGGAAACCACCUUAGAGACUAGGAAACACUUGAAACUAAGUGUUUGAAUCAUAUAUGAUUGAAGAAGGGGAGUUUGCGGUCACAGAAAGGGGUUUACAGUCAUAGGUUUGCGGCCGAAGAGUGUACGGCCCAUAGGUGUACGGCCAAGGAGUUUGCGGCCAUACACUCUUGAAGAAAGGUGCGAUUUAUGGUGUUUUAAGGUUCUUUCUAGCCUCCUCGAAGUGUUCUAGGUCUCAUGCAUAGUUUUAAGAAGAGUUUAAGGUCAAUCUAUGAUCAAAAACUAGGGUUUGCGGCCAAUAAGGGGUGUACGGCAGUACACAUGGGUUUACGCCCAUAAACCCUUCGUGUUCAUGCUUAUAGGGUCGAUUUCAAGGUGAAAAUCAAGGAUUUCUAGUAGAUAGCAAGCAUAGGAAGCAAUUACUUACUUUUAGGAAGCUUAAAGGGCAUUUUUGACCACCAAUAAGUAGUGUGUGUUCUUGGUGUUCUUGGUGAGAGAUGAAGAUCUAAACAAAGAUGAGAUUAAUGAGAUAGGAACAUGGAUUCACCAUUAGAUAGAGGAUUGAAAAACAUACAAGGUGGAGAACCACUUACAUCUUGAAGAUCUUGGAGAAAAACUUGAUGAAGGUAGAGAGAGAGAGAGAGAGGGAGGGAGUUCUAUGUUUGAAGAGUGUAAAGAGACAAAUGAAGGUUGAGCAUCCCUUAUAUAGGGGUAGUUUUCAGCCGUAGAGUGGGUGGGGGUGUACGGCCGUAAACUCGAGUUUUCGACCCUACACUCCUCUCGAAGGGGUGUUUGGCCCUGAUACUAUAUUAUGAUUUACAAAACGCGUUCUUGGACCCAAAACUUGAUUGCAGUGAACUUAGGAUAUUUAGUUAGACUCAAAAUUAUGCUAACGAUAACAUAAAUAAAUCUUAAUUGAAUGAUUUUUAAACGGUUCACACAAAAAGUAAUUUCGGGUUGUCACAUCAUCCCCCCGAUAGAGGGAAUUUCGUCCCAAAAUUCAAACAUAGAAUACAAAUUAGGGACUCGAAAAGAGAUGCAGAUAUUUCUGUUUCAUUGAAUCUUCGCGCUCCCGUGUAAAUUCAGGUCCCCGCCUGGCAUUCCAACGAACCUUCUCUAUUCGUAUGCGGAUUCAUUUUGUUCGUUUGAUCUCUCGGUCCAUGAUUUCGACUAGUUCUUCCACGAAGUUAAGGUUCUCGUUGAUCUCGAUCUCAUGAAGAGGGAUCACAAGGGUCUCUUCGAAUAAACACUUUUUAAGAUUUGAGACGUGCUAGACGGGAUGGAUGUUGCUAAGCUCUUAGGGUAAAUGAAGUUUGUACGCUAUACGACCGAUCCUAGGGAGGAUCUCGAAUGCUCCUACAUAUCUUGGAUUCAGCUUUCCACGCUUUCUGAAGCGUAUCAUGCCCUUCCUGGGUGAGACCUUCAAUAGAACACGGUCACCCACCUGGAAUUCCAAGGGUUUUCGUCUCAUAUCAGCGUAGCUCUUUUGUCUGUCUCGUGAAGCUUUUAGUCGUUCUCGGAUUUGUAUGGUCUUUUUUGUAGUUUCAUGGAUGAUUUCUGGGCCUAUGAGAAUGCUGCCAUGGACUUGACCCUUAGCUAACUGCGUGUCACCCACUUUAGCCCAACACAGAGGGGAUCUGCACUUACGACCAUACAAGGCUUCAAACGGGGCACCCUUGAUACUGGUAUGAUAAUUGUUGUUGUAGGAGAAUUCAACCAAGGGCAAAUGGUUGUCCCAAGACAUACCAAAAUCUAUGAUACAUGCUCUCAACAUGUCUUUCAAGGUCUGAAUGGUCCUCUCACUCUUCCCGUCUGUCUGAGGAUGGUAAGCUGUGCUCAUAUCCAACUUAGUUCGGGGAGCCUCUUGUAGUGACUGCCAAAAUCACAAGGUGAAUCUGCUAUCCCGAUCGGAGAUAAUGGACACAGGCACACUGUGUAGGCAAACUAUUUCUGGAUGUAGAUUCGCAUAAGUCUUUCCAUUUUGAAAGUUUCUUUGAUUGGCAGGAAGUGGGCGGAUUUGGUCAAUCGAUCGACAAUUACCCAUAUGGUAUCAUACCCACUCGGAGAUUUGUGUAAUUUAGUGAUAAAAUCCAUAGUAAUCCUCUCCCACUUCUACUCAGGUAUUUCCGGCUACAGAAGCAAACAUGAGGGCUUUUGAUACUUGAUAUUCACCUUGGCUCAAGUCAGACACUUGCCGAAGAAGGUAGCGAUCUCUGCUUUCAUGUUUGGCCACCAAUAUAGCUUCUUAAGAUCCAGGUACAUCUUAUCCGAACCUGGAUGAACAGAGUAUCAAGUCUUAUGAGCUUCGUUCAUGACAACCUCCCUGUAACCACCGAACUUUGGGGUCCAAAUCCGGUCCAUGAAAUAAUAGACUUCAUCUCCCUUGAUUUCUAAAUUCUUUUCCAUCCCUCUCAAGGCUUCAUCCGGCAUGUUCUCUAGUUUCAAGGCCUCCAGCUGAGCCCCUUUGAUUAGCGCAGAUAAAUGGGAAUGGAUAGUGAUUGUAAGUACCUUAGUUCUACGACCUAAGUGCUCCUUCUGACUGAGGGCGUCAGCUACCACAUUGGCCUUGCCGAGAUGAUAGUGUAUCUCGCAUUCAUAAUCACUGAGUAGUUCCACCCAUCACCGUUGUCUCAUGUUCAACUCCUUCUGGUCAAAAAUGUGUUGUAAGCUUUUAUGUUCAGUAAAGAUAGUGCACUUGGUUCCAUAGAUAUAAUGUCUCCAUAUUUUCAAGGCAAAGACCACUACUCCCAACUCCAAUUCGUGAGUUGUAUAGUUGACUUCGUGUGCUUUCAGUUUCCUUGAGGCGUAAGUAAUAACCUUUCCUCGCUGCAUGAGCACAUAGCCUAAGCCCUAACUGGAUGCAUCGCAGAAGACAACGAAAUCCUCCGUCCCUUCGGGCGGAGACAGGAUAGGUGCGCUGCAUAGGGGCUGCUUUAAUGUUUGAAAUGCACUGUCUUGCUUUUCACUCCAACUAAAAGGUACACUUUUCUGUGUCAAGGUGGUUAAAGGCUUAGCAAUCCUUGAGAAAAUUUGGAUAAACCUGCGAUCAUAGCCAGCGAGGCCCAAGAAUUGACGGAUUUCUGUGGGCGUCUUUGGUGCUAAUCAAUUUUCUAUUGCUUUGAUCUUGUAAGGGUCCACGUGUAUGCCUUCCUCGCUUAAAACGUGACCGAGGAAAAUUACUUUUCGGAUCCAGAAUUUGCACUUAGAGGACUUUGCAUAUAGCUUCUCCGCUCUUAGUGUUUCUAACACUAGCCUCAAGUGCUGCUAUGAUCUUCCUCACUCCGAGAGUAGACAAGUAUAUCAUCAAUGAACACAAUUACAAACUUGUCUACAAAAGGGCGGUACACCCGAUUCAUCAAAUCCAUGCAUACUGUCGGUGCGUUAGUUAGACCAAAGGGCAUUACUACAAACUCAUAGUGUCCAUAAUGAGUUUGGAUGUUGUCUUGGGAACAUCAUUAUCAUGAACUCGAAACUGAUGGUACCCUGAUCUUAGGUCUAUAUUUGAAAAGUAGCUGGCUCCUUGGAGUUGAUCAGAAAGGUCGUUGAUUCUGGGAAGAGGAUAACGAUUUUUGACGUUAAUCUUGUUAAGCUCAUGAUAAUUAACGCACAACUGAAAAGAUCCAUCCUUCUUUUUCACAAAUAAGACCGGGGCUCCCCAGGGUGAGGAACUCAGCCUAAUGAAUCCUUUGCUGAGUAGCUCAUUGAGCUGGCUGGAUAACUCUUGCAUUUCUUCUGGCGCUAGACGGUAUGGGGAUUUAGCUACAGGGGUAGCUCUGGGGAUUAAGUCGACUUGGAAAUCAACUUGGCGCUCGGGAGGAAUUCCCGGAAGCUCUUCAGGAAAACCAUCAGGAAAAUUGUAGACUUCAGGGAUGUUCUCGUGGUCUUUAACUUCCUGUUUCUCAUUAACCACAUGGGCUAGGCAUGCAUGGCACUCCUUUCACAUAAAUUUUUGAGCUCUGGUGCAUGAAAUGAUGCGGAGGUUUGAGCUGAGUUUAUCACCAUUGAUCAUGAGGGCUUCCCCCAGAGGGAAGAUUGAGACGGAUACGUUUUUCAUAGCAAAGGAUAUCAGCACGAUUGGGGCUCAACCAAUCCAUGCCGACGAUGACAUCGAAGCUUUUUAUGGAAACUGGCAUAAGUUCCAUAGGAAAGGAAUGGCCGUUUAAGGUAAGGGUACAACCCAUGAAUAUGUUGUUAGUGCUCUCUUUCUUUCCGUUAGCCAUCUCCAUGGUGAAUGUUUCGGUUAAAAAUUGAGGUUUAUGUUUAAGAAGGUGUUUGAAUUCAUGAACGAAAAAACUUCCCUCCACACCAGAAUCGAAAAGAAUGCAUGCAUAAGACUUGUCAAGGAGGAACGUACCCGAAACAACGGUGGGAUCUGCAACUGCGUCCUCCUGUCCCAUUGCCAUCAAAGGAAUUGGGCUCUACGUUAAUGAAGUCUUUGUAGGAACACUCCCUUGGGUGUCCUUGACCACCCUCGGGAUGUUAGGGAUGGGUACCACUUCUUGAUCUGCUAGAACCACUAGGAUUCAUCUGAGCCAUCGCAGCAGCCACAGAGGCGGUAACUGCUACUUGAAACAUAACCAGAUCAAAUUGAGGAGGUGGUGGUGGCGGUGUUGGAUCCGUCGAGGAAUUGUUGUUCUUUUUGUUGGGUCUUUUCUUUGGAGGCUUCUUGUUCUAAAAAUAAUCAGGAAGAAGAGGAUGGUAAGUACCCUGGAUUUGAAUCAAGAGAUAUGGAACAUGAUGUAUCUCAGCCUGAUAGAUGGAGUGUUCUACUAAGCGAUAAACAAGGAAAAGUUACUAAUGCAAGUAAACUACCGCUAAAGGAAUGAGUAGCAACACUGUAAAAUGAAUCUCUGCAAUGUAUUUGAUUCUAGUUAAAAUACUCCUAUAGCAUUUUAAAUUGUAUGUUUUCUUAUAUCGAUAUCUUGUUGUAGGUAUACUUGGUAAGUUUUAGGCCUGCUGCACAUCGCAGUCACUCCCAAGCACAUGUUGGUCAUGUAUUGAAUAAAUAUAGUUAAUCAAGCUAUAUUGACCCUAUACAUGAUUACAUAACUGCCCAGGUUUAGCCGCAGUGUCCAACAACCAAGUACUUUUGUUUUGUUCUACUUUAGAUAUUGUUUCUGGUACGUAUGUAUAUUUGUAUACUUCUUGAAAAAUGCUUAUAUUGUUAAAGUAUACUCUUAGUUCAGAGCGCUUCAGCCCCUUAGUGUUUAUAGUUGUAUACCAUGUAAGUUCGGUAUACUUCGUUCACUAUAAACAAUAGCUCUGAUACCAAUCUGUCACACCCCCAAACCGAAACGGCGGAAAUGUUCGAGGGUGGAGGACGUCAUGUGUAAUAUCACAACAAUUGCAUCAUAGUAAUCAAAGUAAACACAACCAUUACAUUAUGAUUUGAAUAUUUAGAUCUGUUUGUUCCAUAAUUAGAUACAUCAAAAGUAUAACAAAAGUAAAAUAUGUGGCUCUAUAUAUUCCGUCUACUCAAAACUCCAGGAGGUACCUAUCUAUUGAUUACUUGAGAAUACAAGUGAUUUUGAAAACGUAUCAUCAUAAAGCUGGUGAGCUCAUAUGUAACGCCCGUGUUUCUAGGCUAGGAAUUAAUAUUGACAUAAUGGUAUAGGUUAACCUUUGUAACUCAUUUAGAAGAAAUGAAAAGGAAUUAUGUGAAUUUAAUGUGAAUUAUGUGUUUUAUGCUUAAUUACUUGGGUUUAAUUAAUUAAGAAUAAAAAUAAGCAUCAAAAUUAAAGUGUGAGAUAAGCCCGAUAUCUUUACAUAAAGUUGUAGUGGUCGAAACAUGGAUUCCGGGGAUAUAAAGAAUGCCGAAAUCCGAGUUAUAACGAAGAAGUUAUGACAUGUCGAAGUUUCGCGACAAAACCGGCUCGGUGUUGAAUGUCGUAAAAAGUGAGUUUUUGAUAAACUACUUUUUAGCCUUAGUAAUCUAAACGAAAGUCGUAGUAUUCGUUAAACCGAGAACUUCGAUAAAAAGAACGCCCAAAUCUGACUUCGUAUGAGGAAGUUAUGAUUUUUCGAAGUUUCAGCUUAGCAGUAGACAGCUAAAAACUCGAAUUUUAGAUCGAGCGAUUUUUAGCCGACACAACCUAAACGAGAAUCGAAGGUCUCGUCAUUAGGAGCACAACGGUAAAAAGUCUAACGAAAACGGACGUCGGAUGAAGAAGUUAUGAAUUUUUAACGGAUUUCCUGUCCCGGUCUGUUAAAAAUAAUAAUAUAAAAUUUAAAGUCAAAAUUAGCCGACGAAGUCUAAACGGAAGUUGUAGAGCGUAAUUUUAGCUACGUGUGCAUAAAAAGAACAUCAAAACGGAGCUCGUAUGCGAAAGUUAUGGAUUUUAGAAGUUUUGGCGCGAAAAACGAGAAAAAUCCCCAAAACCGAGUAAUUUCGCACACGUGGACUUCGGCCACGUCACCGAAGCCACCUGGCGAGGCGUGUCAUGAUCUUCACGAGUCCGAGGUUCGGUCCAGUAGAAAUGCGACACAUGCCUCUUCCCUCGUGCGUCUGAACCCUCGCAGGUGCCACGAACCCCCUCAUCGGAUCCGGACUUCGGUCCAAUCACAAGCUGUCAGCGAGGCCUUCGCAUGCACAGACCAUGUGCGAGCCACCUCCCUGCGAGCCCCCGGAUCUGCGACGCGUGUCUUCCCUCCUGACCGUCCGAUCAGAAGCCUCGCCCCUAUAAAUAGAAGGGUGCGAGACCUCUCGGGUAACUUUGAAAAUUCGUCAAUUUUAACCCCCAAACCCAUAUUUUAUUCAUCUUAACAUCCCGCAAAGCCCCGGUAUCGAUUGUAAAGCCUGGAAUACUCCAUGGAGUGCCCGAGAAGCCCGGAAAAUUUAUUUUUUCGGUUUCGAAGCCCGACUUUUGAAAAGCCCGGUUUCUCAAUAAAACACACGGUUUUAUUAAGAAACGAUCGUUUUAGGAAACAAAUUGCUGCCCGAUUAUCACUAAAUCAUGUGAGUGUAUAGUCACUUUCAUUUUACACAUAGAUAUGAAGUAUUUAACUUAUAAUAUGUGUUAUGUGUAAACUGUAUAAGUAUUUUUAUCCAAGUUUUAAACUGUAUAAGUAUUUUUAUCUACGAAUAUGUUGGGUAGAACAUGGGUAGAUACUGAUGUGUGAUAAAAUAAAAUUUGAGGAGAGGCCUCGAUGAGUUUUGAGAUCAACUUAUCUAGCGGAGUUUGGAUGACGACCACGGAUGUUCUAGACGGUCCAGUGGGAAACAUUAGCAGGUCCGCAACCUGUAGGUGUUAAUAAACUUGGGUGUUCAUUUGCUGUACUCCAUCCCCCUCAUGGUUGCCUUUAGGACAUGUAUGGAUGAGGAAACCCCUUAGCAGUAGUGUCCAUCCCGAUGAUAUUCUUCAGGCUAGGUCCCUUGUGAAAAGUGUUUAGGGACAUAAAGUAAGGAUAACGGGAAUGGGUAAUCAGGGUUAUUGUUGAUUGAUGAACUUAGUAAGUUUAUUAUUAUUGUGGGUUGAAAACCCUAUAUGCUCACCAGACUCCCAAGCCUGACCCACUCAGCUUUUUAUGUUACAGGAAGUGGACCCCGAGCAUACUCGGAGGACGACGAGAGAUUUUUGGAUCAUAGGCCAGUAAUUGUAAAUAACUGUUGAAAGGCUUAUAAUGUCUUGUUCAUGCUUUCGAUCUGUAUCGGCACAUGACAUCCCGAGGUUUUGAUAUAUAUGGAAAAUAUAUACCUUCUUAAUGAAGGAUUUCGAUAAACUUUUAUCAUAUGUUGUUUGGGGACCAAUUCCGCAACAUCUUUUAAAAAGAUUUCUCUGAUUUUGUUUUAAAAAGCAUAAAUUACAUCGGUCUUUUCUAGCCGAGAAAUUAGAGGAUGUCACGUUGGUAUCAGAGCACUAGUUUAAGCGAACUAAAAAAUUGUAGAAUUUCUAGACUUAAACUUAGAAUGCUAAGUGAUGAUUGUGAGAUGAGUGUCUACCAUAUUUUAGACACGAGCACUAGUUUAUUUUAGGAAAGAUGCCUAAAACGCCCUGAUGUGCUAAAUGUUAUAUGUUUGCCAUAUAUGCCAUUAUUGUUCGGAUCUAUGGUCUGUUGCCGACCGGAUAUGGAAACCUUAUAUGUAUAGGAUUCUAACCGUAUGAUUACGAGAUUAGAACUAACAUGUAAAGGUUUUGGAGGGAUAAGGGAAUUUAAAUACCUAUCGAGGGUAAAGACCUAAAUUCGCCUUAUUCGGUAUAUAGAUUGUAAUGGCAGGAACUCGUAGUGGAGUUGCAAAUGCAAAUGGAAACAGGGAUCAAGAGCCUCAACCUCAAGUAGUUGAGCAAGUACCUAUUGUAGGAGCUGCACCUGAGCGAAUGACGAUGGUUGGGGUACAAGCAAUAAUCCAGAUGAUGUUAGAUCACCAGAUGGAGGAGACAAGGUGAUUACUGCAACAACAUAGGGAAGAGACUACGAUGCCUGUUGAGUAGCCCGUAUUGAAUGAAGGGCAAUCAAUAGGAGGGAACUAUAGUGGGACGUUUGGUCAAGCCAACCCACCGAUAGUUAGACAAGACAAACAGGAUAGAGGAACUGAUGGACGCGGGUGCAAAUACAAAGAUUUCAUGGAAUCUAAGCCGCCGUGUCUAUUUGGGAGUCCGACACCUGUGGAAGUCAUGAAUUGGAUCUCGGAAAUGGAGACGACGUUUGAAAGUUGCAAGUUCAGCAACAAACAAAAGACCGCACUUGCAAUUCCUCUAUUAAGGUCUGGUGUGUUGAACUGGUGGAAGUUACUAGCUAAUUCGAUGCCCAAGGGAGAAGCUAGUAAGAUGUCUUGGGAAGACUUUGUACUACAACUAAAACUGCAAUACUGCUCUGAGCAGGAUCUUCUGGAAACUAAUAAUGAGUUCCAGAAUUUAAAGAAGGGAAAGAUGAGCGUUACUGAAUACGCUGCUAGUUUUACUGAAAAGAUGAAGCUUGUUCAUUACCUAGUUCCAACUGAACUCUCUAAGAUCAACAAGUUCCCCCUCGGAUUACCAGCGGAUUUUGGUCCGAUGGUCAAGCAAGCAACCACUUUGGAAGCCGCCAUCUGGGCUGCUAAGAACGUUGAGGUUCAGAUCAGAGAGAAGGGUCUGGAGAGUGCGGAAGUUGGUGAAAAGAGAAAAUUUGAAGGAACUUCAAGUUCCAGUAAGAGAAGCAAAUUUUCUAAGUUUAAGAAGUUUGGAGGAGUAGGAGGUGAAGUGAAGUGGUGUGAUAAGUGCAAGAAAAAGCACUCAGAGAAAUGUAUUGAGGAGGUGACUUGCUUCAAAUUUGGAAAGACUGGGCAUUAUGCCAACGUGUGUCCAUCCAACAAGAGGGUAUGUUUUGAGUGCCAUGAAGAAGGGCAUGUUUUUAAAGACCGUCCAAAGAGGAAGGAUGCUGCAAAGCCCAAUCUGCCACCAAAGCCGAAGGCGAGAGCCUGUCAGAUGACACUUGAGGCUGCAAAAGAAGAAGAUCAAGUCAUAAAGUAGUAAUGUGAAUAGUAACAAGUAGUUAGGCCUAUUAGAAGCAUAGUAUUGGGUAAACUUAAACCUUUGUGUAAUCGUUUCAAGGAAAUAAUAUAAACCCUGGUUUUGUUAUAUGAUGAAUUGAAUGACAAUGUGAAAUUUUUGUAUGGCGAUUUGGAGAACUGCGAGACAAUACUUGGGACGAGUAUGAGUAGGUGUGAAUGGUAGUAGUGGCCUAUACUACCGGAAGCACAAGACUCGUAGUUGGAUCAGAGAAAGUCACAAGGUUACCAAGGAGCUAUUAUUUGAUUCUGUCUUGUUCUAGUCUUUUGUUACCAUCGUUUCGGUAAUGACUAAGAAGAUGAUUGUUAUUUCGACCAUAGAGGUCAGAUUGAAUCGAGUCCGACUAAGAUAAGUAUGUUACAUGGUUCAGAGAACGAAGUUCGAUGUAGAAUUUGACUUAAGCCAGAAGAUAAAGGUUAAAGAUGAUUAAAGCGAUCAACAGAAGUAUCGUACUAAUUGUUAAAGAGGUUGAUAUUUAGGAAUGAUACAUGUUGAAUUGUGAUUGUAUCACAUUAGAACGUGAAGGAAGGUGUAGUUUGUUCUGAAAAUUGUACCAAGGAGAUCUGAGUCUAAGUAGUGCAGUAUAAAAUGAGAGAUCAUUAGAACAUGACCCACCGGUCUGUGACUGUAAAUGAAGGAAAGUACUUAUUCUAAGAAAAAGAAGGAUCCCUCAAUAAGGAUUUAUUUUGUAACUCGAAGGUUACGAUUCAAAGUCCUAUGGAGAUCUGAAGCUUUUUAGGAUUAGAUGGAUAUUAUCACUGAAUUAUCCAAGGCUUUUCUUCGAUUGCGACUCCAUUGACAGCAUUGACCCACAAAGGAGUUGUCAUAUACUUGGAAUGAGAAGCAUAGGAAGCUUUGAGAAGUUAAAGAAGACGUCGUGUGAAGCGCCGACUCUCUCGUCACCUGACGGAGUUGAUGACUUCACAGUUUAAUGUGAUGCCUCUGGAGUUGGGUUAGGUUAUGUUCUGACCAAAAAGGGAUAAAGUGAUAGUGUGUGCAUUGAGGCAAUUGAAGGAGCAUGAAAAGAACUACCCCACUCACGAUUUGGAGUUGGCAGCGGUAGUAUUCCCCCUAAAGAUAUGGAAGCAUUAUCUUUAUGGCACAAAGUGUAAACUUUUCACUGAUCAUAAGAUUGUUCAAUAUCUCUUUAAUCAGAAGGAAUUCAACAUGAGGCAACGGUGCUUGCUAGAGUUAUUCAAGGACUACGACUGUGAGAUACUUUACCACCCUGGUAAAGCAAAUGUUGUUGCUGAUACUCUCAGUCGGAAUGUAAGUAUUGAAAAGAUGAGGGCCAAGAGCAUUAAGAAUUAAAGUUGUCUUGACAAUUGUGAAAGGUAUAAAGAAAUCUCAAGAGGAAGCUUUACAGAAAAAUGACCGAAAGGAGAAACGUUUGAGUAAAACGUUGGUGUUUGGUACAAACGGUCAAGGAAUGGAGGUAUUCAAAGAUAGGAUUUGGGUACCUAGGAUGGGAGGAAUAAGAGGUCUUCUGGUGGAAGAAGCUCACAAGACCAUGUACUCGAUUCAUCCUGGCAAUACGAAAAUGUAUAGAGAUCUAAAACCCUAUUACUAGUAGCCGACGAUGAAGCUCAAAGUUGCUAAAGUAUGUAGUUGAGUUUGUAACUUGUGCCAGGGUUAAGGCACAUCAUCAGAAAACAUGUGGGAGUUUAGAAUCUUUACCUGUACCCAUGAGUAAAUGGGAAGAUAUCACUAUGGAUUCUGUGACUAAAUUUCCCAGAACAAGGAACGGUCACGACAUGAUUUGGGUAGUCGUUGAUCGCUUCACUAAGAGUGCGCAUUUCAUAGCAGCCAACGAGAAAUGGUCUAUGGAUAAACUUGCGAAUUCUUAUGUGAAAGAAAGUGUGAGGCUUCAAGGUGUUUCGAUAACGAUUGUAUCCGAUCGUGACAGCCGUUUUACCUCAAGGUUUUGGAGGAGUCUAUAAGAGGAAUUGGGUACCAAGUUGUGUUUGAAUACAACUUACCAUCUGCAAACCGAUGGUCAGAGCGAAUGGACGAUUCAAACGUUGGAUGAUAUGUUGAGAGCAUGUACCCUAGAAUUUCAAAGUAACUGGGAUGAACACUUACCUUUAGUAGAAUUCACCUAUAAUAAUAGUUUCCACUCAAGUGUCAAGAUGGUACCUUAUCACGCUUUGCAUGGGAAAAAGUGUCGGAUGCCAUCAUGUUGGCUGGAAGCUGAGGAAAAGCAGUUUAUGGGACUUGAAAUAGUCCAUUAGAUUGCUGAAAACUUGUAAGUGAUUAGGGAAAAAGAAAUUAGCUGCUCAAAAGAGCUAUGCUGACAAGAAAAGACAACCGAUAUCAUUCAAAGUUGGAGAUUUGGUUUCACUUAAAGUCUUGUCGUGGAAGGGACUUAUAAGAUUUGGUAGAAGGGGAAAGUUGAGUCCAAGGUUUAUUGGACCAUUUAAAGUUCUUCAGAGAAUCCGGAAUCAAGCUUACAAGCUAGAAUUACCGGAAGAACUAGAGAGUGUUCAUAACACCUUUCAUGUGUGUUAUUUGAGAAAGUUCACGAGAGGUGUGCCCAACAUAAUUCCCAUUUCUGAAUUAAGGUUGGACGAGAACAUGAGGUUAAUUGGAGAAACUGAGGCAAUCGUUAACCGUAAGACUAAGAAGUUGUAACGUAAGAUAGUCGAUUUAGUGCCUGUACGUUGGAAACAUAUAAAUGGGCCAGAUCCCUCCUGGGAAACGGAGAGUGACAUAGUAAGUCGCUACCCAUAGUUGUUUGUCGUUGUGUGAUUCCAGGGACGGAAUCAUCCUAAGGGGGAGAGAGUUGUAAUGCCCGUGUUUCAAGGCUAGGCAUUAAUAUUGACAUAAUGGUCUAGGUUAACCUCUAUAACUCAUUUAUAAGAAAUGAAAAGGAAUUAUGUGAAUUUUAUGUGAAUUAUGUGUUUUAUGCUUAAUUAUUAGUGUUUAAUUAAUUAAGAAUAAAAAUAAGUCUCAAAAUUAAAGUGUGAGAUAAUCCCGAUAUCAUUACAUAAAGUUGUAGUGGUCGAAACAAGGAUUCCGGGAAUAUAAACAAUGCCGAAAUCCGAGUUAUAACGAAGAAGUUAUGACAUGCCGAAGUCUCGCGACAAAACCGGCUCGGUGUUGAAUGUCGUAAAAAGUGAGUUUUUGAUAAACUACUUUUUAGCCUUAGUAAUCUAAACGAAAGUCGUAGUAUUCGUUAAACCGAGAAGUUCGAUAAAAAGAACGCCCAAAUCUGACUUCGUAUGAGGAAGUUAUGAUUUUUCGAAGUUUCAGCUUAGUAGUAGACAGCUAAAAACUCGAAAUUUAGAUCGAGCGAUUUUUAGCCGACACAACCUAAACGAGAAUUGAAGGUCUCGUCAUUAGGAGCACAACGGUAAAAAGUCUGACGAAAACGGACGUCGGAUGAAGAAGUUAUGAAUUUUUAACGGAUAUCCUGUCCCGGUCAAUUAAAAAUAAUAAUAUAAAAUUUAAAUUGAAAAUUAGCCGAUGAAGUCUAAAAGGAAGUUGUAGAGCGUAAUUUUAGCUACGCGUGCAUAUAAAGAACGUCAAAAACGGAGCUCGUAUGUGAAAGUUAUGGAUUUUAGAAGUUUUGGCGCGAAAAACGAGAAAAAUCCCGAAAACCGAGUAAUUUCGCACACAUGGACUUCGGCCACGUCACCCUCGCUGCGCAUCCGACGCGUGUCCAGAAAUUGCUGAGUCACCGAAGCGACCUGGCGAGGCGUGUCAUGAUCUUCAUGAGUCCGAGGUUUGUUCCAGUAGAAAUGCGACACNNNNNNNNNNNNNNNNNNNNNNNNNNNNNNNNNNNNNNNNNNNNCCUCAUCGGAUCCAGACUUCGGUCCAAUCACCAGCUGCCAGCAAGGCCUUCGCAUGCGCAGCCCACGUGCGAGCCACCCCCUGUGAGCUUCGGAUCUGCUGCCGCGUGUCUUCUUCCUGACCAUCCGAUCAGAAGCCUCGCCCCUAUAUAUAGAAGGGUGCGAGACCUCUCGGGUAACUUUGAAAAUUUGUCAAUUUUAACCCCUAAACCCAUAUUUUCGUCAUCUUAACAUCCCGCAAAGCCCCGGUAUCGAUUGUAAAGCGUGGAAUACUCCACGAAGUGCCCGAGAAGCCCGACAAAAUUUAUUUUUUCUGUUUCAAAGCCCGACUUUUGCAAAGCCCGGUUUCUCAAUAAAACACCCGGUUUUAUUAAGAAACGAUCGUUUUAGGAAACGAAUUGCUGCCCGAUUAUCACUAAAUCAUGUGAGUGUAUAGUCACUUUCAUUUUACACAUAGAUAUGAAGUAUUUAACUUAUAAUACGUGUUAUGUGUAAAUAUAUUAAUUGUUUAUUUGAGGUGACUGUUGAGUUGACGUUUUAUACAAGUUUUAAACUGUAUAAGUAUUUUUAUCUACAAAUAUGUUGGGUAGAACAUGGGUAGAUAGUGAUGUGUGAUAAAAUAAAAUUUGAGGAGAGGCCUCGAUGAGUUUUGAGAUCAAGUCAUCUAGCGGAGUUUGGAUGACGACCACGGACGUUCUAGACGGUCCAGUGGGAAACAUUAGCAGGUCCGCAACCUGUAGGUGUUAAUGAACUUGGGUGUUCAUUCGCUGUACUCCAUCCCCCUCAUGGUUGCCUUUAGGACAUGUAUGGCUGAGGAAACCCCUUAGCAGUAGUGUCCAUCCCGAUGAUAUUCUUU